Molecule: ribosomal RNA, 494 nt
Filed under: uncultured bacterium
Lineage: Bacteria
Description: partial 16S ribosomal RNA
Rfam family: Bacterial small subunit ribosomal RNA
Source: RNAcentral
GACGAACGCUGGCGGCGUGCUUAACACAUGCAAGUCGAACGGAAAGGCCUGCUUUCCCUUGUGGAUUGCGGGUGCUCGAGUGGCGAACGGGUGAGUAACACGUGAGUGAUCUGCCCCCAACUUGGGUAUAAGCCUGGGAAACUGGGUCUAAUUCCCGAUAGGACUGCAGGGUGGUGCCUGUGGUGGAAAACGAUUUUCUAGUGGUUGGGGAUGAGCUCGCGGCCUAUCAGCUUGUUGGUGGGGUAAUGGCCUACCAAGGCGGCGACGGGUAGCCGGCCUGAGAGGGUGGACGGCCACAUUGGGACUGAGAUACGGCCCAGACUCCUACGGGAGGCAGCAGUGGGGAAUAUUGCACAAUGGGCGGAAGCCUGAUGCAGCGACGCGGCGUGGGGGAUGACGGCCUUCGGGUUGUAAACUCUUUUCGGCCGCGAGGAAGCCACCUGGUUGGAAGGGUGGUGACGGUAGUGGUAGAAGAAGCACCGGCUAACUACGUG